UACGGGGGGGGCAAGCGUUGUUCGGAAUUACUGGGCGUAAAGGGCUCGUAGGCGGCCAACUAAGUCGGAUGUGAAAUCCCCAGGCUCAACUUGGGAACUGCAUCCGAUACUGGAUGGCUUGAAUCCGGGAGAGGGAUGCGGAAUUCCAGGUGUAGCGGUGAAAUGCGUAGAUAUCUGGAGGAACACCGGUGGCGAAGGCGGCAUCCUGGACCGGCAUUGACGCUGAGGCGCGAAAGCUAGGGGAGCAAACGGG
RNAcentral lists this ribosomal RNA (253 nucleotides) under uncultured bacterium. RNAcentral's name for it is "partial 16S ribosomal RNA". It matches the Rfam family "Bacterial small subunit ribosomal RNA", at positions 524 to 776 of the family's 1533-position model. The record is from RNAcentral.